GCCGCCCCGCCGCCCCGCCGCCCCGGCGCCGGCCCCUCUCACCCUUUCAUCCUCUGCCCGGGGCCUGACGCGGGCCGGCGGAUCCCCGGCCUCACAUCGGAGUGAGAGGCGCUGGCGAUGGACCGGGAGGCUCGGCUGCCGCUGCUGCUGCUCCCCCCUGGGCUCCGGCGGGAGCCUUUCCCGGUCAGGCAAGAGGGGCAAUGGGAAUCAAGCCUAUUAAGUGUUCCAGGAAGGCAGGAUACAGCUGUUGGUCUUGCACAGUGCCCACCGAGGCAGAGAUCACGGGAGAGGUUAAAUAGGACCGAAGCAUCUCUGACCACGGUCCUGGAAAUGAUUCUGAUUCUGUGAUGGUCUACCCAGGAAGAAAGGCUGCUUAUGCAUCCCCACAACAUGGCAGGCGGUGACCCGAGGGAGAGAACCAGACAACGCCCAACAUGGAAGCCACUUUCAAACACUCAGCGGGGGCGGGGGGCUCAGCGGUAUAGCGCCGCCUGCAGCCCAGGGCCCGAUCCUGGAGUCCCGGGAUGGAGUCCCACGACCGGCUCCCUGCAUGGGGCCUGCUCCUCCCUCUGCUUGUGUCUCUGCCUCUCUGUCUCUCAAGAAUAAAUAAAUAAAAUCUUUUAAAAAAAAUUUAAAAAUAAAAAUAAAAACUCAGCCGGGACAUCCCAGAUGAGUACAAGUGAGUCCGUUUAAGUCCAGCCCACACUCACGGAGGGGAUUACAGAAGGGCAUGGAUCCCAGGAGGCAGAGAUCACUGGGGCCAUCUUAGAAGCUGCCUACCACACCUAACACGCACACAAUUUGGUCUCCUAUUUUUAGUUUUCAUCAGUUUACAUGUUUUGUUUUGCCCCGUAUUCUUCAGCUAAGCUAUGUGUUUACAAAUUAUAAAAGCAAGGGCAUCUGGGUGGCUCAGUUGGUUAAGCGUCUGCCUUUGUCUUGGGUCACGAUCCCAGGGUCCUAGGAUGGAGCCGCGUGUGGGGCUCCCAGCUCGGCAGGGAGUGUGCUUCUCUCUUUGCCCCAAAUCCUACUCAUACUCUCUCCUUUUCUCAAAUAAAUAAAAUCUACAAAACAAUAAUAAAAGCAAAAUAUUUUUGCUGUAAAAACUCAAAUGUUCCAAUGGUAGAGAUGUAAAAUCCUUUUCUUUAUCCUCAUUAUAGAGAAACUACCCAGAGGUGUCUGCUGAAAUACAUUUCACACAUAAGUAAAUAUAUAUAUUUAUAUAUACAUAUAUUAACAUCUAUAUAUUUACAUCUAUAUAUUAAGAUACAUAUUAUUGCAUCUUAAUGGUUUUUGGGUUUGUUUUUGUUUUUGUUUGCAUCUUAAUGUUCUUUAUGUAUCUUGGAGCUCUUUCCAUAUCAGCAAGUGGAGAUCUAAAUCAUUCUAACAUUUGUAUAUUUUAUGAUUGUACCAAUAAUAUUUUAUGUCCUCCAUUAAUAGACAUUUUUUUGUUUUAGGGGAGCCUGGGUGGCUCAGUCAGUUAAGCAUCUGCCUUU
Molecule: long non-coding RNA, 1493 nt
Organism: Canis lupus familiaris (dog)
Lineage: Eukaryota; Metazoa; Chordata; Mammalia; Carnivora; Canidae
Exons: 4
Source: RefSeq, a predicted model, not a curated record